AUUGAACGCUGGCGGAAUGCUUUACACAUGCAAGCCGAACGGCAGCACGGACUUCGGUCUGGUGGCGAGUGGCGAACGGGUGAGUAAUGUAUCGGAACGUGCCCAGUCGUGGGGGAUAACGUAGUGAAAAUUACGCUAAUACCGCAUACGAUCUAUGGAUGAAAGCGGGGGAUCGCAAGACCUCGCGCGAUUGGAGCGGCCGAUAUCAGAUUAGGUAGUUGGUGGGGUAAAGGCCCACCAAGCCAACGAUCUGUAGCUGGUCUGAGAGGACGACCAGCCACACUGGAACUGAGACACGGUCCAGACUCCUACGGGAGGCAGCAGUGGGGAAUUUUGGACAAUGGGCGAAAGCCUGAUCCAGCCAUUCCGCGUGCAGGAUGAAGGCCCUCGGGUUGUAAACUACUUUUGUACAGAACGGAAAGGUUUCUACUAAUACUAGGAGCUCAUGACGGUACUGUAAGAAUAAGCACCGGCUAACUACGUGCCAGCCGCCGCCGCGG
RNAcentral lists this ribosomal RNA (500 nucleotides) under uncultured bacterium. RNAcentral describes it as "partial 16S ribosomal RNA". It matches the Rfam family "Bacterial small subunit ribosomal RNA", at positions 30 to 523 of the family's 1533-position model. The record is from RNAcentral.